Molecule: ribosomal RNA, 762 nt
Filed under: uncultured Verrucomicrobiaceae bacterium
Lineage: Bacteria; Pseudomonadati; Verrucomicrobiota; Verrucomicrobiia; Verrucomicrobiales; Verrucomicrobiaceae
Description: bacterial SSU rRNA
Rfam family: Bacterial small subunit ribosomal RNA
Source: RNAcentral
GAGGUCUCAAGCGUUGUUCGGAAUCACUGGGCGUAAAGGGUGUGUAGGCGGCGUGGAAAGUCAGAUGUGAAAUCCGGGGGCUCAACCCCCGAAUUGCAUCCGAUACUGCCACGCUGGAGGUCUGUAGAGGAGUCUGGAAUUCUCGGUGUAGCAGUGAAAUGCGUAGAUAUCGAGAGGAACACUUAUAGCGAAAGCAAGACUCUGGGCAGAAUCUGACGCUGAAACACGAAGGCCAGGGUAGCGAACGGGAUUAGAUACCCCGGUAGUCCUGGCAGUAAACGGUGCACGUUUGGUGUGGGAGAAUUCGACCUCUUCCGUGCCGGAGCAAACGCGUUAAACGUGCCGCCUGGGAAGUACGGUCGCAAGAUUAAAACUCAAAGAAAUUGACGGGGACCCGCACAAGCGGUGGAGUAUGUGGCUUAAUUCGAUGCAACGCGAAGAACCUUACCUGGGCUUGACAUGCACUGUGUCAUUGGUGAAAGCCAGUUAGCGUAGCAAUACGCGCUUUGCACAGGUGCUGCAUGGCUGUCGUCAGCUCGUGUCGUGAGAUGUUGGGUUAAGUCCCGCAACGAGCGCAACCCUUGUAGAUUGUUGCCACCGGAGAAAUCCGCGCACUCAAGCUAGACUGCCCAGUUUAACUGGGAGGAAGGUGGGGACGACGUCAAGUCCGUAUGGCCCUUACGCCCAGGGCUGCACACGUACUACAAUGCUCAGUACAAUAGGAGCUGAAGCCGCGAGGCGGAAGAAAUCCGUGAAAACUGG